Molecule: long non-coding RNA, 2333 nt
Organism: Octopus bimaculoides (California two-spot octopus)
Lineage: Eukaryota; Metazoa; Mollusca; Cephalopoda; Octopoda; Octopodidae
Source: RefSeq, a predicted model, not a curated record
CACAAUCCACGUCACCCAAUCCUCCUUCUGCGGGAUGUCAAUAUUUUCCCUGUAACUGUCUGCUUGUUCGAGAGAAAUGAUUUCCAUAGCAACCUCCCUGGUCUCGGAGGAUCUCAGAUCCGAGAAGGCCACGGCUACGGCCCCUUCCUCCAGAUAAAACUAAUAACACACGCACCUACACACACACAUACUUACAUAUACAUAUAAAUAGAUAGAUAGAUAGAUAGAUAGAUAGAUAGAUAGAUAGACAGACAGACAGACAGACAGACAGACAGACAGACAGAUGGAAUUACAGACUAAAUCUUUAUCGAAGAAACUCUGCUUUUGCAAAUUCUCUAGUUCAUCAGUCACAACGUAGAUUCAUAAAACAUUUGUGUAUUUGUAAAUGUCCUAGACUCACCACAGAUGUAUCGCUUUUGAUCAUAAGUUUCCUGAAAGAGGUUAGACCUGGGACUAAGCAACAACAACUACCACAUUAAUAUUUAUAUGGCCGCUUACCUCCCUUCCUACCUUUCUCCACGGUUUUUAUCCAGAUUUAAAAUCAUUUUAUCUUUAACAACUUUUGAUGCUGGAAAACUAGAUUUUCAUCUGAAGUAACCUAUAUUUUUUGCAAUACACACGGGAGUCUUAAAGCGAUGUUUGUAAAAAAAAACUAUUGAUCACGUAAAUCGAUUUUACUGUGAACACAUUCUGUUUAUUAUUGAACACAGCUGAAAGUUCAUAAAGAUAUCUGAUAUGAAUGGGAAAUUGAUAGAUUUUUAUCGAAGUAAUAAAAGUGAACACAGGUCUCGAUCAAUGCUGUGUAAUUUCAUCAGAUAAAUCGAUGUCCUUUAUACCACCAAAAAUACCAAACAUAAAAUAUAUUUGUUUACUACAAACCUUGUUUCUCUUGUGCAGCUUCACCGCACAAUAGCAAAUAAAACACAUAUCGACGUGAUUAAAUGUGAUUAAAACAAGUUAUUUCGUCUAGCAAUGUUGAAGUGGUCACAGCUUCAGAUCAUUGCAAAAAAUGUCUCACGUAUUCAGUGACGUCUCUUUAAGUUCUGAGUUCAAAUCCCAACGUGGUCAGUCUUCUCUUACUUCGCCAUUAAGUCAGCCAAUAACCCCCUGAUGUCCAUCUUGACGUAAGAGGCAUUAAAAAUGGCUUCCUUGUUUAGAGUAUUUCUUUUUUGUUAAUCACCAUAUUGUCUGUUGGAUACAAACAAGUUUGCUACACUUGUCUGGCUAAUAUGAACAUAAUAACUACCGUAAAAUAUUUUCUCGGCGACUCAACCAAUUCUGCCAAUCUACUACCAUGGGCUGGUGUUUUAUUUUAUCAAACCCGAAAAGGUGGAGAGUAAAGUUGACCUCGGCGGUACUUGAACUCAGAUGAAAAAGAGCCACAACCAAUAACGUACGAUAUAUUGUCCGAUGUCCUAAUAAUUCCGUCAAUCCAUCCUUGUGGAGUCCUUCACAAAAAUGUUUUAAGAUUUUUCUCUUAACUGAUAUUGUUAUAAAACAUCCGAGAUGUGAACGGAUGCAAGAUGCAGGCAGUGACUCAACAGCUAAAACUGAUGGGGAAAACUACCUGUCACAGAGAAGUUCAAGAGGUUCAGACUAGCACACCGGUGGAACUGGUUAAGUCGGUGUUAAUAUACGUGAAGUACUGAACUAAUUCACUUUUACUAAACAAAGUUAUCAUUGUUUUUGAAUAGAAGCAGACAUUUUUGCUUCGACAUGGAAUUUGAGCUUUAGGCAAGGGAGAUAACUGCGAAAUUAUAAAAAAAGUUUAUUUUCUCCUUAAUAAAUGUUGUAUGGUGGCGAUGGUGGGCGGUCAAGGUCACGGUGACCUUUAUCACUGAUUGAUAAAAGUAAAAAAUGAAUAAACCUAAAUUUCAAAGUUUAUUUUCAUCCUUAUCAGCUGGAGAACAGGAAGCAGACAGAAAAACUCGGUGAAGUUCGUGUGAAGCUUACAAUUUCUGAAGAUAUCAACAAUAUUCAGAUGUACAAAAUUAUGUCGUCUGCUGCAUUUUGCGUGUGACUGGUGUAAAUAGCUUAGAAUGAAGACGACACAACACAGCAUAAUAUAUAUAUUCGCUUUCUACUGUGAUUUUCACAUUUUUUCUGUUAUUUAGGUGGAGCAAUAUCCAGUAGAAGUGAGAGACGAACCUCCGUUCAAAGGUGACGACUACAGUCUGACUUCGCUCAAUAUCCAUAAUAAUGAAGAUUCCGAGACCACCAAAGUCGAAGACAUGAAGGAAGAAACGGCCAUUCCAGAAGAACGGGACAGCGAGAGAAAACUGUGUGAACUUUAUAACGAAUUGUUUGUUGAAUUAAAGUUUAAUUAAAACAAA